AGCGAACGCUGGCGGCAGGCUUAACACAUGCAAGUCGAGCGGGCACUCUCGGGUGUCAGCGGCGGACGGGUGAGUAACGCGUGGGAACGUGCCCUCUGGUCCGGAAUAACUCAGGGAAACUUGAGCUAAUACCGGAUACGCCCUUUUGGGGAAAGGCUUGCUGCCGGAGGAUCGGCCCGCGUCUGAUUAGCUAGUUGGUAAGGUAACGGGUUUCCAAGGCGACUAUUAGUAGCUGGGCUGAGAGGAAGGUCAGCCACGCUGGGGCUGAGACACGGUCCGGAAUCCUACGCGAGGGGGGAAUGGGGGAUAUAGGACAAUGGGCGGAGGCCUGAUCCAGCCAGGCCGGGUAAGUGAUGAAGGCCGUAAGGAAGUAAAGCUCUUUUAUCCGGGACGAUAAUGACGGUACCGGAGGAAUAAGCCCCGGCUAACUUCGUG
Molecule: ribosomal RNA, 435 nt
Filed under: uncultured bacterium
Lineage: Bacteria
Description: partial 16S ribosomal RNA
Rfam family: Bacterial small subunit ribosomal RNA
Source: RNAcentral